This 469-nucleotide ribosomal RNA is filed under the name Acinetobacter sp. oral taxon C51. Its description in RNAcentral is "bacterial SSU rRNA". It matches the Rfam family "Bacterial small subunit ribosomal RNA", at positions 30 to 493 of the family's 1533-position model. Lineage: Bacteria; Pseudomonadati; Pseudomonadota; Gammaproteobacteria; Moraxellales; Moraxellaceae. The record is from RNAcentral.
AUUGAACGCUGGCGGCAGGCUUAACACAUGCAAGUCGAGCGGAGCGAGGGUGCUUGCACCUUAGCUUAGCGGCGGACGGGUGAGUAAUGCUUAGGAAUCUGCCUAUUAGUGGGGGACAACAUUCCGAAAGGGAUGCUAAUACCGCAUACGCCCUACGGGGGAAGGCAGGGGAUCUUCGGACCUUGCGCUAAUAGAUGAGCCUAAGUCGGAUUAGCUAGUUGGUGGGGUAAAGGCCUACCAAGGCGACGAUCUGUAGCGGGUCUGAGAGGAUGUCCGCCACACUGGGACUGAGACACGGCCCAGACUCCUACGGGAGGCAGCAGUGGGGAAUAUUGGACAAUGGGGGGAACCCUGAUCCAGCCAUGCCGCGUGUGUGAAGAAGGCCUUUUGGUUGUAAAGCACUUUAAGCGAGGAGGAGGCGCUCUAGGAUAAUACCCUAGAUGCGUGGACGUACUCGCAGAAUAAGCCC